RNAcentral lists this ribosomal RNA (253 nucleotides) under uncultured bacterium. Its description in RNAcentral is "partial 16S ribosomal RNA". It matches the Rfam family "Bacterial small subunit ribosomal RNA", at positions 524 to 776 of the family's 1533-position model. The record is from RNAcentral.
UACAGAGGGUGCGAGCGUUAAUCGGAAUUACUGGGCGUAAAGAGCGCGUAGGCGGUCAUGUAAGUCAGGUGUGAAAGACCUUAGCUUAACUAAGGAACUGCAUUUGAUACUGCAUAACUAGAGUAUGGUAGAGGAAAGUGGAAUUUCCGGUGUAGCGGUGAAAUGCGUAGAUACCGGAAGGAACACCAGUGGCGAAGGCGGCUUUCUGGACCAAUACUGACGCUGAGGCGCGAAAGCGUGGGGAGCAAACAGG